GACGAACGCUGGCGGCGUGCUUAACACAUGCAAGUCGAACGGAAAGGCCCUGCUUUUGUGGGGUGCUCGAGUGGCGAACGGGUGAGUAACACGUGAGUAACCUGCCCUUGACUUUGGGGUAACUUCAGGAAACUGGGGCUAAUACCGGAUAGGAGCUCCUGCUGCAUGGUGGGGGUUGGAAAGUUUCGGCGGUUGGGGAUGGACUCGCGGCUUAUCAGCUUGUUGGUGGGGUAGUGGCUUACCAAGGCUUUGACGGGUAGCCGGCCUGAGAGGGUGACCGGACAAAGGGGGAGAGGAAUGCGGCCUGGGCGCCAACGGGAUGCAGCAGGGGCGCGUGGGGGACGACGGACGGAGGGUUGACGCCGCAACGCGGCGGGGGGGAGGAGGGCUUUAGGGUUGUAGACCACUUAGCCCUGGGAAAAAGCGUGACAGAAGGUGGUGUGAAAAGAGGAACCGCCUCGCUACUUG
This 468-nucleotide ribosomal RNA is filed under the name uncultured bacterium. Its description in RNAcentral is "partial 16S ribosomal RNA". It matches the Rfam family "Bacterial small subunit ribosomal RNA", at positions 28 to 507 of the family's 1533-position model. The record is from RNAcentral.